Molecule: non-coding RNA, 3546 nt
Organism: Podarcis lilfordi (Lilford's wall lizard)
Lineage: Eukaryota; Metazoa; Chordata; Lepidosauria; Squamata; Lacertidae
Source: the annotation of a GenBank genome assembly
GUGGGGGGGAGAGCAUCUCAGUAGCUCAUAACCAUCCCACCAUUGUAGCUAAUAAAAUCCAGAAGAUAAUGAGCCCUAUUGAAUCUUGAUGAUGGUCAUGAUGGGCUAAAACAAAGAUCGUGAUGGGGUGGGGUUGGGGGAGCAUAAAAACCCUCCCUUUUAUUUCUUGGGAAACUAACAAGAGGAAAAACUUGUUUCUGAAAAAUUGGAUCGCAGCUGUAGUAGCAGAUAAGACUGACAUUCGGUUCUUCGAAAGAAGCAAUCAAUGUUGAAUGUAUCAGGUGAGUUCAUUUCUCUUGCUCUGCUUUAAUAGCUUAUAAAGAAGAUUGAUUAGGUUCUUGUCUGACAGAUCAAUAGUGGAAUGAAACUGAACUUCCCCUCUCUCUUCCCCAGCCCCCCCUCUCCCAGCAAACAUGGAUUCUCCAAAUACAAGGGGAUGUAGGGAGAUCUGGUGGGGAGAGAAAUGCCAUAAACUUCAAAUUAAAAAUAAAAAUCCUAUACUAAACUAACCAUGGCAACAAAUAGUGUAAUCAUGGCAGGCUACAUUCAUAAUAACAGAAAUGAAAAGAAGCAAAGAAAACGAAGUGUUGGCGUCUGCAGUGCCAGGUGUAAAGUGAGUGACAUCCUAUCCCAUUUUUUUUCUAUGCAAAGAGCUACAGCUUCCCAUAGACUGGGGAAGGGUUAGAUCAGCUGCCUUGCAUGCAGAAGUUUCCAGGUUCGAUCCCCACCAUCUUCAUGUAGGACUGGGAGAGCUCCGAGUCUAGAUGGUCUGACUCUACAAGUCUAUGAUGAUGAUGAUAAAAAUAAUAAUAAUUUAUUAUUUAUACCCCGCCCAUCUGGCUGGGUUUCCCCAGCCACUCUGGGCGGCUUCCAACAAAACACUAAAAUACAAUAACCUAUUAAACAUUAAAAGCUUCCCUAAAGAGGGCUGCCUUCAGAUGUCUUCUAAAAGUUUGGUUGUUAUUUUUCUCUUUGACAUCUGGUGGGAGGGCGUUCCACAGGGCGGGUGCCACUACCGAGAAGGCCCUCUGCCUGGUUCCCUGUAACUUGGCUUCUCGCAAGGAGGGAACUGCCAGAAGGCCCUCGGUGCUGGACCUCAGUGUCUGGGCAGAACAAUGGGGGUGGAGACGCUCCUUCAGGUAUACUGGACCGAGGACCUUUAGGGCUUAUGAAUGAAAAUUCACCUGCAUUGUAUUGCGAAUUUUCCAUUACACAUUUUUGCAUACAGUGGUACUGUUAGGGAACUGCCAUCGGCUCAGAGGCGAGAGAUAGAGGGGGAGUUGUGUUACAGGGAGCCUCUGAAAAUCUUGCAAAGCAGUUCCUCUUCCGGCGAGGAGGAAAGCCCAACCUCCAGUGGUGAAGAGGUGCAAGGACCAGAGGAUGCUAGAGAGAGCCUUAACACUGCGCCUGAGCAAGCUGGAGAGGAGGGAAGCGCACCCUUGCCAUCGCCCAUCAUGCGCAGUAGUUUGAGGUGCAGGGAGGGGCCGAAAAGGCUUGCGGGGAUGAAACUUUUAUGUUGGGGGAGGUACAAAAACAGAUCACUCCCAGAUUCUGCUAGUGACUGAGCCAGACAUGAACUUAUGACGCUCUUCACUGUAAAUAGUUUGCACCAAAAUAAAGCCUGUAAAAGACAGGUCAGAGUCCUGCCUGGUUACUCUCAACGCAACAGCAUUGACAGGUACCUUGGCUCUCAAACUGAAUUCAUUCCGGAAGUCUGUUCCAAAACCAAAGCGUUCCAAAACCAAGGCGUGCUUUCCCAUAGAAAGUAAUGCAAAACGGAUUAAUCCGUUCCAGACUUUUUAAAACAACCCCUAAAACAGCAAUUUAACACGAAUUUUACUAUCUAACGAGACCAUUGGUCCAUAAAAUGAAAGCAAUGAUCAAUGUACUGUACUAUAAAAUAAAUUAGACAGUAUUGUAGAUGAUAAAAAUUAAAAUCAUUUUUUUCUUACCCGCACUGAUGAUAGUCAUGGUUUGGUGGGCGGUGGCUUUUAUCCAUUUCCACAGGCACACAAUCAAUCAAUCAGUAGCUGAACUGGGCUCCACACAGUCACAAAAACAAAUUAACUGAAAAAGCCUCAAAAACGAAAACACAAAAUAAAUAGCAAAAACAAAAUCACCUAACUUAAUCCGUUCCAGAAGUCCGUUUGACUUCUGAAAUGUUCGAAAACCAAGGCGCAGCUUCUGAUUGGGGCAGGUGCCCUGGGAAGAAUAGCUGACAGCCUCAUCGGACAUUUGGCUUCUGAAAAACGUUUGAAAACCGGAACACUUACUUUGGAGUUUUCAGCAUUUGGGAACCAAGGCGUUUGAGUACCAAGGCAUGUGAGAACCAAGGUACAACUGUACUCCCCCCCCCCAUUUCUGCAAGCAAUUCCCCCCAAUAUGAUGCAUUUUCCAUGCUAUUUUCACUAGCGUGUGUAUUUUCCGCCAAAUAUACACAUCGAUGUACACAUUACUUGUUUGGACACCCACAUAGCGGCAUUUGGAGAAGUCUGGAUUUCAAAGGGCGACUGCAUUUAGGUUAAAAUAUUGGUUCAGAAAGUAGAAUGGUACCUCGGGUUACAUACGCUUCAGGUUACAUACGCUUCAGGUUACAGACUCAGCUAACCCAGAAAUAGUACCUCGGGUUACAUACGCUUCAGGUUAAAUACGCUUCAGGUUACAGAUUCCGCUAACCCAGAAAUAGUACCUCGGGUUAAGAACUUUGCUUCAGGAUGAGAACAGAAAUCUUACUCCGGUGGCACGGCAGCAGCAGGAGGCCCCAUUAGCUAAAGUGGUGCUUCAGGUUAAGAACAGUUUCGGGUUAAGUACGGACCUCCAAAACGAAUUAAGUACUUAACCCAAGGUACCACUGUACAAAUUGGGUAGGUUUGCGUUAAAAUCAUUUAAUUUAAUUAUCUUUAAAUUUCUAUACUGCCCUUCAUCCGAGGGUCACCAGUUCAAACUGAGCCGAAUUUCUCCCCUGUCUCCAGCAGCAAAGCAUUUUGGUUUUGACCUGUCCUAUUUAUUAUUCUUAUUCUUAUUAAUUCUGGUCCCACCAUAGGUGCACAGAUUCCAGGUGGAUUCCCCCCUCCCCCAUCACCUCUCGCACAAAAGAUGUACCCACCCCAUACUUCCAGCUUGCAGGAUGUGUGGCUGGGGGUGACCCAGCGAGGUGAGACGGAUGCAAGUUUGUUUUGCUUUGCUUUUUUUAAAGAAAAGGUCGCUUUCUGAUAACCAGACACAGGAAAGCAUGUGUUAUGGGGAGAUAAAUGCCUCGAGUGCACAUUGAGAUACAAGAAACAACCUGAUGCUCUUUGUGGCCCGAAAAGAGUUUAAUCUGAAUGCAACAUGCAACGUACACCUUGCUGCGGUUGCUGCAUGAAAGGAACCGAAAGAAAGGAAUGCUCACUUUUGAGAGAGGAAGAGAAAGGGAGAUUCUGUGCAGCUUUAGGGCAGAAAAUAAGUUUCUUUUCAUUCCUAUUCAUUUUUGCCCCUCUGUCAUAAUGCUAGGACCCAGGGCCAUCUGAUGACACUGAAUGAUGGGAAGUUCAGGACAGACAAGAG